Molecule: ribosomal RNA, 253 nt
Filed under: uncultured bacterium
Lineage: Bacteria
Description: partial 16S ribosomal RNA
Rfam family: Bacterial small subunit ribosomal RNA
Source: RNAcentral
UACAGAGGAUGCAAGCGUUAUCCGGAAUGAUUGGGCGUAAAGCGUCUGUAGGUGGCUUUUUAAGUCCGCCGUCAAAUCCCAGGGCUCAACUCUGGACAGGCGGUGGAAACUACCAAGCUGGAGUACGGUAGGGGCAGAGGGAAUUUCCGGUGGAGCGGUGAAAUGCGUAGAGAUCGGGAAGAACACCAACGGCGAAAGCACUCUGCUGGGCCGACACUGACACUGAGGAGCGAAAGCCAGGGGAGCAAACGGG